AUCUGUAACCCGAGUGGGUGACAUAAACCGGUGAAAGAGUAUGGCAACGUGUCUGAGGAUCUGCAUGGCACUAUAUUGAGAGCCUGCCCACUCCAAAUUUCGAGUAGCUAUAGGCGGACCCUGGUAGCGGGGACACGUCUAGGGCAUCAAAGACACCCGAACCGCCUUAGGCUGGCAACAGAGCAAGGAAAAGGGUGCGCUUGAAAUGGUGGAGGGAUAACAGGCUU
This 227-nucleotide signal recognition particle RNA is filed under the name Platyophrya macrostoma. RNAcentral describes it as "partial Protozoan signal recognition particle RNA". It matches the Rfam family "Metazoan signal recognition particle RNA", at positions 20 to 249 of the family's 299-position model. From Rfam's summary of the family: The signal recognition particle (SRP) is a universally conserved ribonucleoprotein. It is involved in the co-translational targeting of proteins to membranes. The eukaryotic SRP consists of a 300-nucleotide 7S RNA and six proteins: SRPs 72, 68, 54, 19, 14, and 9. Lineage: Eukaryota; Ciliophora; Colpodea; Cyrtolophosidida; Platyophryidae. The record is from RNAcentral.